RNAcentral lists this transfer RNA (25 nucleotides) under Hylia prasina (green hylia). RNAcentral's name for it is "partial tRNA-Trp". The record is from RNAcentral. Lineage: Eukaryota; Metazoa; Chordata; Aves; Passeriformes; Sylviidae.
AAACUUAGGUUCACCUAAACCGAAG